GGGAGUUGUGUUGUAGAAUUUCCCUAAACGAAGGAUAAAUUGGGUUCGUCUUCAACUUUAGGAUUUUCCUUGGGAAGCGUGACCGCGACUGUUAGGAAAAAUAUCAGUGUAACUAAUCUCCAGUGACUUGGCUAAGGUUAAAGAUUUGCGAGCAUUUGUAUGGGCAAGGUUUAAGGUGUAUACAACCAAGCCUUUUAGAUCUGUAGUGCCUGCAAAUUUCAACACACUUGAACAAAAUGGUGGGUCUGAAGUUUUUGGACAGAUGGUGGAAAUGACGUCGUUAGAUGAUGCGACGUUUGAAAUGGUGGUGAACAAAAGAACUCCAAUGAGAGAGACAAUGAUGAGACAAGAGUU
Molecule: long non-coding RNA, 354 nt
Organism: Cucumis melo (muskmelon)
Lineage: Eukaryota; Viridiplantae; Streptophyta; Magnoliopsida; Cucurbitales; Cucurbitaceae
Exons: 3
Source: RefSeq, a predicted model, not a curated record